Molecule: small nucleolar RNA, 129 nt
Organism: Sorex fumeus (smoky shrew)
Lineage: Eukaryota; Metazoa; Chordata; Mammalia; Eulipotyphla; Soricidae
Source: RefSeq, a predicted model, not a curated record
AAGCACAGUUCGUUGUCUUUUUUUCUUUAUGUCAAGAAGAAAGAUAUUUCUGAUGUGCCCAGCUAAGCUUUGGAGGUCAGUUAGCAGCAUGAAUUAGUAGCCAUUGCUGUCAGUCACCUUCAGACAAAU